AUAUCAAUAAGCGGAGGAAAAGAAACCAACAGGGAUUGCCUCAGUAACGGCGAGUGAAGCGGCAACAGCUCAAAUUUGAAAUCUGCCUCUAGGCCGAGUUGUAAUUUGUAGAAGAUGCUUCGGGUGUGGCACUGGUCUAAGUUCCUUGGAACAGGACGUCAUAGAGGGUGAGAAUCCCGUAUGUGACUGGCUGCCUUCGCCCAUGUGAAGCUCUUUCGACGAGUCGAGUUGUUUGGGAAUGCAGCUCAAAAUGGGUGGUAUAUUUCAUCUAAAGCUAAAUAUUGGCCAGAGACCGAUAGCGCACAAGUAGAGUGAUCGAAAGAUGAAAAGCACUUUGAAAAGAGGGUUAAAUAGCACGUGAAAUUGUUGAAAGGGAAGCGCUUAUGACCAGACUUGCGCCGGGUUGAUCAUCCAGUGUUCUCACUGGUGCACUCUGCCCGGCUCAGGCCAGCAUCGGUUCUGGAGGGGGCAUAAAGGCCGCGGGAACGUAGCUCCUCCGGGAGUGUUAUAGCCCUGGUCGAUACGGUGAUCUGGACUGAGGUCUGCAGCCGAACUUUGGGGUGGCGGUCGCUGGGUG
Molecule: ribosomal RNA, 577 nt
Filed under: uncultured fungus
Lineage: Eukaryota; Fungi
Description: eukaryotic LSU rRNA
Rfam family: Eukaryotic large subunit ribosomal RNA
Source: RNAcentral